UAGUGUUUUGCAGUUCAUGGAAAUUAAAAAAUAAAAAUAAAAAAAAUAAAAAAAUUAUGCUAAACCGCCAUCUCAACUGGCGGUUUUGUCCGUGUACAAUACCAAACCUGCUGCCUUCAUUUUUCAAUUUCUCCCAUUUGUAUGCUGCUGCUGUCGGUUUUCUUAAAAAAAAAAAAUUUCUACACUUCUCAUUUACUUCAUAUUCACAAUUCCUCUCAUUUAACUAAAUCAAUCAACUACAUUGCCAUCUUCUCCUUCAUUACUUGUUCAUUAUCAUCUUCAUUUAAGGAUACAACUACGCGAUAAGCCCUUCUAGUCAACUGCAGUGAAACGGUCUCAACUUCUCAAAGCAACAUUGUCGUUUGACUACAGAUCGGAACCGGACGGGAACGAUGGGUUAGCGGUGUUGAAUAGCGUUCCAAGGAUGUAUAUUGAGCUAAGCACGUAGGAAUUUGCAGUUUUGUAUUAGGUUUUUGGAUAAAUGCAUAUUAGCCUUGGUUGUGUUGGUUGAAUUGGAAUUUAAGUGAAUUGUAUGAUUACUUGUGUUUUAGUUACA
Molecule: long non-coding RNA, 556 nt
Organism: Amaranthus tricolor (Joseph's coat)
Lineage: Eukaryota; Viridiplantae; Streptophyta; Magnoliopsida; Caryophyllales; Amaranthaceae
Exons: 3
Source: RefSeq, a predicted model, not a curated record